GGUGGCUCAGUGGUAGAGCACUUGCCUUGCAUGCAUGAGGCCUUGGGUUCGAUUCCCCAGCACCA
This is a non-coding RNA of Dipodomys ordii (Ord's kangaroo rat), 65 nucleotides long. Lineage: Eukaryota; Metazoa; Chordata; Mammalia; Rodentia; Heteromyidae. The record is from Rfam.